GAUGAACGCUGGCGGCGUGCCUAAUACAUGCAAGUCGAGCGAACAGAUGAGGAGCUUGCUCCUCUGACGUUAGCGGCGGACGGGUGAGUAACACGUGGAUAACCUACCUAUAAGACUGGGAUAACUUCGGGAAACCGGAGCUAAUACCGGAUAAUAUAUUGAACCGCAUGGUUCAAUAGUGAAAGACGGUUUUGCUGUCACUUAUAGAUGGAUCCGCGCCGCAUUAGCUAGUUGGUAAGGUAACGGCUUACCAAGGCAACGAUGCGUAGCCGACCUGAGAGGGGGGUCGGCCACACUGGAACUGAGACACGGUCCAGACUCCUACGGGAGGAAGCAGUAGGGAAUCUUCCGCAAUGGGCGAAAGCCUGACGGAGCAACGCCGCGUGAGUGAUGAAGGUCUUCGGAUCGUAAAACUCUGUUAUUAGGGAAGAACAAAUGUGUAAGUAACUGUGCACGUCUUGACGGUACCUAAUCAGAAAGCCACGGCUAACUACGUG
RNAcentral lists this ribosomal RNA (497 nucleotides) under uncultured bacterium. Its description in RNAcentral is "partial 16S ribosomal RNA". It matches the Rfam family "Bacterial small subunit ribosomal RNA", at positions 28 to 507 of the family's 1533-position model. The record is from RNAcentral.